Molecule: ribosomal RNA, 253 nt
Filed under: uncultured bacterium
Lineage: Bacteria
Description: partial 16S ribosomal RNA
Rfam family: Bacterial small subunit ribosomal RNA
Source: RNAcentral
UACGUAGGGUGCAAGCGUUGUCCGGAAUUAUUGGGCGUAAAGAGCUCGUAGGCGGUUUGUUGCGUCGGCUGUGAAAUCCCGAGGCUCAACCUCGGGUCUGCAGUCGAUACGAGCAAACUAGAGUGUUGCAGGGGAGACUGGAAUUCCUGGUGUAGCGGUGAAAUGCGCAGAUAUCAGGAGGAACACCGGUGGCGAAGGCGGAUCUCUGGGCAACAACUGACGCUGAGGAGCGAAAGCGUGGGGAGCGAACAGG